GCCUCCAUUCAAGUGCAAUCUGAUCUUAUUCAACAAAUUAAGGAAGGAAAAUUACGAGAUCCACAUUUAAUCUACUUGAGGAAUGAAGUAGAAAAGGAAUUGAAGCCAAAAUUUCAAGUUUCAAAGGAUGGCCUAUUGAGAUUUGGGGAGAGAGUAUGUGUACCAAAUGAACCAGAUAUCAAGAAUCAAAUCCUAAAGGAAAGUCAUACUU
This 211-nucleotide long non-coding RNA is filed under the name Musa acuminata (dwarf banana). RNAcentral describes it as "long non-coding RNA (MACU_LNC000650)". Lineage: Eukaryota; Viridiplantae; Streptophyta; Magnoliopsida; Zingiberales; Musaceae. The record is from RNAcentral.